UACGUAGGGGGCUAGCGUUGUCCGGAAUCAUUGGGCGUAAAGAGCGUGUAGGCGGCCCGGUAAGUCCGCUGUGAAAGUCGGGGGCUCAACCCUCGGAUGCCGGUGGAUACUGUCGAGCUCGAGUACGGAAGAGGCGAGUGGAAUUCCGGGUGUAGCGGUGGAAUGCGUAGAGAUCCGGAAGAACACCGGUGGCGAAGGCGGCCCGCUGGGCAGUGGCUGACGCUGAGGCGCGACAGCGUGGGGAGCAAACAGG
This 253-nucleotide ribosomal RNA is filed under the name uncultured bacterium. RNAcentral's name for it is "partial 16S ribosomal RNA". It matches the Rfam family "Bacterial small subunit ribosomal RNA", at positions 524 to 776 of the family's 1533-position model. The record is from RNAcentral.